GGGUUCAUAGCUCAGCCUGGUUAGAGCGCUGGUCUUAUAAGCCAGAUGUCAGGGGUUCAAAUCCCCUUGGACCCA
This 75-nucleotide transfer RNA is filed under the name Microcaldota archaeon. RNAcentral's name for it is "tRNA-Ile". It matches the Rfam family "tRNA". Rfam says of the family: Transfer RNA (tRNA) molecules are approximately 80 nucleotides in length. Their secondary structure includes four short double-helical elements and three loops (D, anti-codon, and T loops). The record is from RNAcentral. Lineage: Archaea; Nanobdellati; Microcaldota.